RNAcentral lists this ribosomal RNA (460 nucleotides) under uncultured bacterium. RNAcentral describes it as "partial 16S ribosomal RNA". It matches the Rfam family "Bacterial small subunit ribosomal RNA", at positions 338 to 795 of the family's 1533-position model. The record is from RNAcentral.
CCUACGGGGGGCUGCAGUGAGGAAUAUUGGUCAAUGGACGAGAGUCUGAACCAGCCAAGUAGCGUGAAGGAUGACUGCCCUAUGGGUUGUAAACUUCUUUUAUAUGGGAAUAAAAUGUUCCACGUGUGGGAUUUUGUAUGUACCAUAUGACUCAGGAUCGGCUAACUCCGUGCCAGCAGCCGCGGUAAUACGGAGGAUCCGAGCGUUAUCCGGACUUAUUGGGGUUAAGGGGAGCGUAGGUGGAUUGUUAAGUCAGGUGUGAAAGUUUGCGGCUCAACCGUAAAAUUGCAGUUGAAACUGGCAGGCGUGAGUACAGUAGAGGUGGGCGGAAUUCGUGGUGUAGCGGUGAAAUGCUUAGAUAUAACGAAGAACUCCGAUUGCGAAGGCAGUUCACUGGACUGCAACUGACACUGAGGCUCGAAAGUGUGGGUAUCAAACAGGAUUAGAUACCCCUGUAGUC